RNAcentral lists this ribosomal RNA (253 nucleotides) under uncultured bacterium. RNAcentral describes it as "partial 16S ribosomal RNA". It matches the Rfam family "Bacterial small subunit ribosomal RNA", at positions 524 to 776 of the family's 1533-position model. The record is from RNAcentral.
UACGUAGGGUGCAAGCGUUAUCCGGAAUUAUUGGGCGUAAAGAGCUCGUAGGCGGUUUGUCGCGUCUGUCGUGAAAAUCCGGGGCUCAACCCCGGACUUGCGGUGGGUACGGGCAGACUAGAGUGUGGUAGGGGAGACUGGAAUUCCUGGUGUAGCGGUGAAAUGCGCAGAUAUCAGGAGGAACACCGAUGGCGAAGGCAGGUCUCUGGGCCACUACUGACGCUGAGAAGCGAAAGCGUGGGGAGCGAACAGG